ACAGCGAGGAGGUUGGCUUAGAAGCAGCCAUCCUUUAAAGAGUGCGUAACAGCUCACUCGUCAAGAGACUUCGCGCCGAAAAUUAUCGGGGCUUAAGCAGAGUACCGAAGGUGAGAGUGCUGACGCAACUUUCAAUUUCUAACUUAUAAUUUCCAAUUUUUGGUAAUUAAAUUGUUGGCAAUUGGCAGUUGCGCCAGCGCGGUAGGAGAGCGUUCCAAAUGCAGUGAAGCUCACGGCGUGAGCCGGAGUGGAGCGUUUGGAAGUGAGAAUGUUGGCACAAGUAACCACAAGUCCGGUGAAAUCCCGGACCACCGAAAACCCAAGGUUUCCUUGGCAAUGACAAUCAGCCAAGGGUUAGUCGGCCCUAAGCCAAUGGCGAAAGCCGGAGGCGAUGGAUAGCUGGUUAAUAUUCCAGCACUGCGUAUUUUUUUGAUGACGGGACGGAAUCUAGUACAUUGAGCGUGUUAUUGGAUUCGCGUUCAUGGCGUAAGGGUAGAGUAUAGGAAAAUCCGUACUCUCGCUUUAGUGCGGCAUCCAAGCGCUUUGAAAACCCGGCACAGCAAUGUGCUGGGAAUUCAAUGGAGCAGGUUUCCCAGAAAAUCGUCUAAAAAUAUUAAUACGCAACCGUACCGGAAUCCGACACAGGUGGGUAGGUCGAGAAGACCAAGGUGAACGAGUGAAAGAUCCCCAAGGAACUCGGCAAAAAAGCAUCCGUAAGUUCGCAAUAUGGAUUCCCAGCUGCACUUUUUGAGCUUUUGCAAAAUAAAAGAGCAGGCCUGAUUACAGGCCUGCAACAACAAUACAGCUACGCGUUAUUCUUCCAGGUGGGUCGCUCCGAUGAGCGCGCCGGUUGCAAUAAUGCCAGAUAGAAUAGCGACGAAGUUGAGGGCUACGAAGUUUACAAGUUCGACAUCCUCUACGCCAAUGGCCAUGACGAUUAUGUCGGCAAGCAAAAUCAAUCCCGCCGUAAAGUAACCAGCAACAUACAAUAACUUCACAAAAUCCUUCAUUUUGCACCUCCUUUGCCAUUAUAGCAUAUUGGUAAAAUAAGUCAAGAGCUUAAAAAGUGCGGCUGGGCGCAGCGAAAGUACCCCUGGCGACUGUUUAACAAAAACACAGCUCCCUGCAAACUCGUAAGAGGAAGUAUAGGGGGUGAUGCCUGACCAAUGCGAGAAGGUUAACGCUGGCGUUCCAGUGCAGCAAUGUGCUGGGGUGACUGGCCGAAGCCCUCGUCAAUGUCGGCCGUAACUAUAACGGUCCUAAGGUAGCGAAAUUCCUUGUCUGGUAAGUUCAGACGCGCACGAAAGGUAUAACGACUGGGGGACUGUCUCGGGGAUUUACUCGGUGAAAAUGCGAUACCGGUGAAGAUGCCGGUUAAGUGCAGUUAGACGAAAAGACCCCGGAAGCUUUACUGUAAGUUGUUAUUGGCUUUAUGUUUUUAAUACGUAGCGUAGUGGGGAGGCUUUGAAGCGUUUCUCUCGGGAGGCGUGGAGCCGCCAAUGAAAUACCCAUUUUUAAAAAUGUAAAAUCUAACCUGUCCGGCAAAACCGGAUGGGGACAGUAGCUGCUGGGCAGUUUGUGUGGGGCGCAAGCCUCCUAAAAAGUAACGGAGGCGUUUAUUAAGGUCAGCUAGGCGCGGAUGGACACCGCGCUAGUCGUGCAAUGGCAUAAGCUGGCUUGACUGGAAGUCGGACAUGACGACCAGAUGCGAAAGCAGAACAUAGUGAACCGACCGUUGGCACUCGAUGCCACGGAAGAUUAACGGAUAAAAGCUACUCCGGGGAUAACAGGCUAGUUCCGUCCAAGAGUCCAUAUCGACGACGGAGUUCGGCACCUC
This 1837-nucleotide ribosomal RNA is filed under the name Candidatus Giovannonibacteria bacterium RIFCSPLOWO2_12_FULL_44_25. RNAcentral describes it as "bacterial LSU rRNA". It matches the Rfam family "Bacterial large subunit ribosomal RNA", at positions 1089 to 2527 of the family's 2925-position model. Lineage: Bacteria; Candidatus Giovannoniibacteriota. The record is from RNAcentral.